Molecule: ribosomal RNA, 490 nt
Filed under: uncultured bacterium
Lineage: Bacteria
Description: partial 16S ribosomal RNA
Rfam family: Bacterial small subunit ribosomal RNA
Source: RNAcentral
AUUGAACGCUGGCGGCAGGCCUAACACAUGCAAGUCGAACGGUAACAGGAAGAAGCUUGCUUCUUUGCUGACGAGUGGCGGACGGGUGAGUAAUGUCUGGGAAACUGCCUGAUGGAGGGGGAUAACUACUGGAAACGGUAGCUAAUACCGCAUAACGUCGCAAGACCAAAGAGGGGGACCUUCGGGCCUCUUGCCAUCGGAUGUGCCCAGAUGGGAUUAGCUAGUAGGUGGGGUAACGGCUCACCUAGGUGACGAUCCCUAGCUGGUCUGAGAGGAUGACCAGCCACACUGGAACUGAGACACGGUCCAGACUCCUACGGGGGGCAGCAGUGGGGAAUAUUGCACAAUGGGCGCAAGCCUGAUGCAGCCAUGCCGCGUGUAUGAAGAAGGCCUUCGGGUUGUAAAGUACUUUCAGCGGGGAGGAAGGGAGUAAAGUUAAUACCUUUGCUCAUUGACGUUACCCGCAGAAGAAGCACCGGCUAACUCCGUG